Molecule: RNA transcript, 1483 nt
Organism: Nomascus leucogenys (northern white-cheeked gibbon)
Lineage: Eukaryota; Metazoa; Chordata; Mammalia; Primates; Hylobatidae
Gene name: COP9 signalosome complex subunit 8 pseudogene
Exons: 1
Source: RefSeq, a predicted model, not a curated record
UGUUGGGCUGGCCGACUGAGGUAUGCACUGUCUUUUAUUUUGAAGAAUCUACUAUUUAUCUGAUGGUUGAGAAGGUGGCUGUACUGACGUAUAAAGAGCCCAGCAUUUGAAUGUUUUAAGACCUGACUUUUAAUCUUAUGACCAUCACUUCCUGACUUUGAGAUCUCAGGACUUCUGUGCUGUAAUUCGUACUUAAAAAUGUGGAUGGUAAAACUCUCCACUGAACUGCUAUGGGGACAAAACAAGAUGGUAGCUAUUUGUAGAUUUCAAAAUUGCUAUGAAAAUUAUUUGUUAAUAUGAUUGGACAUUGUAAUCAUGUGGCAAAUGUUUGUUUCCCCAUUGGCUACUUAUGUAGGGUUUAUUUAAAAUUAGGCAAAACUAAGAAUAUGUUUCCUAAGAACACAUUCUGGCCACACCUUUUAUAUCAAUCUCUCUUCAAAUGUGAUCCCUGAACUCUUCUUUAAUUUCCCACUUCAAUAGUCCGUCUUACAAUUUUUUUAACCUAGGUUUUCCGUAGUAAAAGUGCAGCUUUCAGAGUUCGACUUAGGGUCAAAUCCCAACUUCUGCUUCUUUUAACUGCAUGCUCUUUGACUUUUAACCUGAGAACAAUGACUUGUACAUUCACGUUCCAUUUCGUCGUCAAAAAAUUGGGGAUAAUAAUAGAUCAUAUCUUAGAGAGUUGUUGUGAUGAUGAUAUAAAAUAAUAACUAUAAAGUGGCAUCAAGAUACCUAGGCCCAGAGACCAGCUAUGAAGAUGCCAUUGGCGGUGAUGGCAAAAAGCGCCUUUAGUUUCAAAAAGUUGCUGGAUCAGUGAGACAACCAGGAGUUCGAGGCCCCUGGAGGAAUUGCUACACCCCCAGUGUAUGGUCAGCUUCUAGCUUUAUAUUUGCUCCAUAAUGACACGAAUAAUGCAAGAUAUCUUUGGAAAAGAAUACCACCUGCUAUAAAAUCUGCAAAUUCUGAACUUGGGGGAAUUUGGUCAGUAGGACAAAGAAUCUGGCAGAGAGAUUUCCCUGGGAUCUAUACAACCAUCAACACUCACCAGUGGUCUGAGACGGUCCAGCCAAUUAUGGAAGCACUUACAGAUGCAACAAUGAGACAUGCCUUUGCCCUGGUCUCUCAAGCGUAUACUUCAAUCAUCGCCAAUGAUUUUGCAGCCUUUGUUGGGCUUCCUGUAGAAGAGGCUGUGAAAGGCAUAUUAGAACAAGGAUGACAAGCUGAUUCCACCACAAGAAUGGUUCUGCCCAGAAAGCCGGUUGCAGGGGCCCUGGAUGUUUCCUCUAACAAGUUUAUUCCCUUAUCAGAGCCUGCUCCAGUUCCCCCAAUACCCAAUGAACAGCAGUUAGCCAGACUGACAGAUUAUGUGGCUUUCCUUGAAAACUGAUUUAUCACUCUGAGUUCAAGAUUCAUCUUCAGAAUCCUGUAUACUGACAAAUAUAGAAAUGUAAACUUUGUAUUUUCAAUUUAUUGGAUGGCUUAAGCA